Molecule: ribosomal RNA, 493 nt
Filed under: uncultured bacterium
Lineage: Bacteria
Description: bacterial SSU rRNA
Rfam family: Bacterial small subunit ribosomal RNA
Source: RNAcentral
GCUAGGAUGAACGCUGGCGGCGUGCUUAACACAUGCAAGUCGAACGGAGUUUUAACGGAAGUUUCGGAUGGAAGUUUAGAAACUUAGUGGCGGACGGGUGAGUAACGCGUGGGUAACCUGCCUCAUACAGGGGGAUAACAGUUAGAAAUGACUGCUAACACCGCAUAACAUAGCGAAACCGCAUGAUUUUGCUAUCAAAUAUUUAUAGGUAUGAGAUGGGCCCGCGUCUGAUUAGCUAGUUGGUGGGGUAAAAGCCUACCAAGGCGACGAUCAGUAGCCGGCUUGAGAGAGUGACCGGCCACAUUGGGACUGAGACACGGCCCAAACUCCUACGGGAGGCAGCAGUGGGGAAUAUUGGACAAUGGGGGAAACCCUGAUCCAGCGAACCGCCGCGUGAGUGAAGAAGUAUUUCGGUAUGUAAAGCUCUAUCAGCAGGGAAGAUAAUGACAGUACCUGACUAAGAAGCCCCGGCUAACUACGUGCCAGCCGCAGC